Molecule: ribosomal RNA, 398 nt
Filed under: uncultured bacterium
Lineage: Bacteria
Description: bacterial SSU rRNA
Rfam family: Bacterial small subunit ribosomal RNA
Source: RNAcentral
UGACAGCGUGGGCGAAGCCUGAGCAGCAAUGCCGCGUGAGGGAAGACGGCCUUCGGGUUGUAAACCUCUUUCAGUUGGGAAGAAGGGUGGACGGUUAAUAGCCGGCUCACUUGACGGUACCUUCAGAAGAAGCUCCGGCUAACUACGUGCCAGCAGCCGCGGUAAUACGUAGGGAGCAAGCGUUGUCCGGAAUCAUUGGGCGUAAAGCGCGUGUAGGCGGUUACAUAAGUCUGUUGUGAAAGUCGGAGGCUCAACCUUCGAAAGCCGAUGGAUACUGUGUGACUUGAGUACGGAAGAGGAGAGUGGAAUUCCUGGUGUAGCGGGGAGGUGCGCAGAUAUCAGGAGGAACACCAACGGCGAAGGCAGCUCUCUGGGACGUUACUGACGCUGAGACGCGA